Regulatory RNA element from Faecalibacterium sp. CAG:1138, 132 nucleotides. It matches the Rfam family "Ribosomal protein L10 leader". From Rfam's summary of the family: This family is a putative r-protein leader autoregulatory structure found in B. subtilis and other low-GC Gram-positive bacteria. Lineage: Bacteria; Bacillati; Bacillota; Clostridia; Eubacteriales; Oscillospiraceae. The record is from Rfam.
AAUCUUUAUGUUGAAUAUCCAAAGACAGUAAGCGACCACAGGUCGUAAUAUCCCAGCUUACCGAGGAAACGACUUUAUAAGAGAUUUUGUCUCGCCGUUUCCGCUUGGAUUCGGCGAUUUUUUAUGAAACUU